GUCUUUGAGGCAGGGUGCAAGUCCCUACCGGCGGUAUAGCCCGCGAGCCUUUAUUUAGGCAUGAUACGGUGAAAAUCCGUAGCCGACAGUACAGUCUGGAUGAGAAAAGAC
Molecule: non-coding RNA, 111 nt
Filed under: pig gut metagenome
Description: FMN riboswitch (RFN element)
Rfam family: FMN riboswitch aptamer (RFN element)
About the family: The RFN element is a highly conserved domain that is found frequently in the 5'-untranslated regions of prokaryotic mRNAs that encode for flavin mononucleotide (FMN) biosynthesis and transport proteins.
Source: RNAcentral